CCCACCCUCUCUUCUCACGCUAUGAUGAUGGGAAAGCAGAGCUCCAUUCCAGGGACCUCGACAAUAACAGUGGUUCACUACAGCUCUGAUGACAGAGAACUAGAGAAGCGUGGAGGAACUGGAGUCCAUGGCACGCUAACCUUCAUAAACAACCUAUUUAACUGCUGCUUUUGGUAACUGCUUGUCGUGUGUGUGUGUGUGUGUGUGUGUGUGUGUGUGUGUGUGUGUGUGUGAGAGAGAGAUUCCCUCUACUGCAUUGAAGGGGUACAGAAUGAUUUGUUCAUAGAAGACAUGGUGUGGAGAACCUUUCCCGAGUCCCGACAGCAUCCUGUUAAACUGUAAAGUACAGAGCUUUAUCAGCAUCUCAGGCCCAUCUAACCUGUCACUGAUCAGAACACGAUGACGGCAGGUUAGUGUCAUCUUACUGCAGCUAAUCUACUUCAUCAGUGUAGAUGGUCGACUAGACCAGUAGCUACAGUUCAUAGUGGCUGCCGGCUCAGUCUCCGGGUCAGUCUCGGGCUCAGUCUCCGGGCUCAUCUCUGGGUCAGUGUCAGUCUCAGUCUCUGGCUCAGUCUCCGGCUCAGUCUCCGGCUCAGUCUCCGGCUCAGUCUCCGGCUCGGGCUCAUCUCCGGGCUCAGUCUCGGGCUCAGUCUCGGGCUCAGUCUCCGGGCUCAGUCUCCGGGUCAGUCUCCGGGUCAGUCUCCGGGUCAGUCUCGGGUCAGGCUCAGUCUCAGUCUCUGGGUCAGGCUCAGUCUCCGGCUCAGUCUCCGGGUCAGUCUCCGGGUCAGUCUCCGGCUCAGGCUCAGUCUCCGGCUCAGUCUCCGGCUCAGUCUCCGGCUCAGUCUCGG
Oncorhynchus tshawytscha (Chinook salmon) is the source of this 848-nucleotide long non-coding RNA. The record is from Ensembl. Lineage: Eukaryota; Metazoa; Chordata; Actinopteri; Salmoniformes; Salmonidae.